GACGUAGGAUGCAAGCGUUGUCCGGAUUUAUUGGGCGUAAAGAGUUCGUAGGUGGUUUGUUAAGUCUGAUGUUAAAGACUGAGGCUCAACCUCGGGAGUGCAUUGGAUACUGGCAGACUAGAGUAUGGUAGAGGCAAGCGGAAUUCCCAGUGUAGCGGUGAAAUGCGUAGAUAUUGGGAAGAACACCGGUGGCGUAGGCGGCUUGCUGGGCCAUAACUGACACUGAGGAACGAAAGCCAGGGGAGCGAAUGGG
RNAcentral lists this ribosomal RNA (253 nucleotides) under uncultured cyanobacterium. RNAcentral's name for it is "partial 16S ribosomal RNA". It matches the Rfam family "Bacterial small subunit ribosomal RNA", at positions 524 to 776 of the family's 1533-position model. Lineage: Bacteria; Bacillati; Cyanobacteriota. The record is from RNAcentral. RNAcentral also lists the same sequence under 1 other name.